RNAcentral lists this ribosomal RNA (468 nucleotides) under uncultured bacterium. RNAcentral's name for it is "partial 16S ribosomal RNA". It matches the Rfam family "Bacterial small subunit ribosomal RNA", at positions 28 to 507 of the family's 1533-position model. The record is from RNAcentral.
GACGAACGCUGGCGGCGUGCUUAACACAUGCAAGUCGAACGGAAAGGCCCUGCCUUGGUGGGGUGCUCGAGUGGCGAACGGGUGAGUAACACGUGAGUAACCUGCCCUUGACUUUGGGAUAACCUCAGGAAACUGGGGCUAAUACCGGAUAGGAGCUCCUGCUGCAUGGUGGGGGGGGGAAAGUUUCGGUGGUUGGGGAUGGACUCGCGGCUUAUCAGCUUGUUGGUGGGGUGGUGGCUUACCAAGGCUUUGGCGGGUAGCCGGCCUGAGAGGGUGCGCGGCCAUAUUGGGACUGAGAUGCGGCCCAGUCCCCUCCGGGACGCAGCUGUGGAGUAUUGUGCACUGUGGGCGGGACCCAGGUGCAGCAACGCCGCGUGCGGUGUGACGGCUUGCGGUUUGUAAUCCUCUUUCGCCUGUCACGGAGCGUUAGUGACGGUAACGGGUGAAGAAGCACCGGCUAACUACGUG